This 253-nucleotide ribosomal RNA is filed under the name uncultured bacterium. RNAcentral describes it as "partial 16S ribosomal RNA". It matches the Rfam family "Bacterial small subunit ribosomal RNA", at positions 524 to 776 of the family's 1533-position model. The record is from RNAcentral.
GACAGAGGGUGCAACCGUUGUUCGGAAUUACUGGGCGUAAAGGGCUCGUAGGCGGCCAACUAAGUCAGACGUGAAAUCCCUCAGCUUAACUGGGGAACUGCGUCUGAUACUGGAUGGCUUGGAUUCGGGAGAGGAAUGCGGAAUUCCAGGUGUAGCGGUGAAAUGCGUAGAUAUCUGGAGGAACACCGGUGGCGAAGGCGGCAUUCUGGACCGACAUUGACGCUGAGGAGCGAAAGCCAGGGGAGCAAACGGG